Long non-coding RNA from Pantherophis guttatus, 5615 nucleotides. RefSeq lists it as uncharacterized. Lineage: Eukaryota; Metazoa; Chordata; Lepidosauria; Squamata; Colubridae. The record is from RefSeq and is a predicted model, not a curated record.
CAGGCAUUGCCAACGUCCCCUUCUCCCUUGAGAGUGGAGACAGCAGCCAGAUGUGGGACAUACCCAAGUUCACUGUCCCAACUCAUGGGAGGGAACAGUCUGGGCCGAAAAACUCCUCCCUGACCUCAACACCUUGUAAUACUCUUCUCCCAAAAUCAGCCUCUGCAGUGGCAAAUUUAUCUAAUUUAUAGUGUUUAACAAAUGGAGAAGGAGAGGUCCAAGUAGCUGCUCUGCAUAUUUCAGACAAUGAAGCCUUAGAAGCCUAAGCAGCUGUAGUUGCAGCACUUCUGGUGGAAUGAGCUGUCACCUUGGUAGGAGGAGGCAAAGAUCGCAGUUCGUAUGCCAUCUUAAUCAUUGUUCGGAUCCAUCGACCUAACGUCGAAGAAGAUACCUUAUUUCCUAAUGAAGCCGGAAGAUAGGAAAUGAACAUUGACUCUGUCCUACGAAUAUCAGCCGUCCUCUGGAUGUAUAACUUCAGUGCCCGUCUGACAUCCAACAUGUGUAAUCUGUUUUCCAAUGGAUUGGAAGGUGAGGAAUAAAAAUCUGGUAAAACAAUUUCUGCAAACGAUGAAAAGAAGAUUUAAUUUUAGGUAUAAAAGUAGGAUCCAAUCUGAGGACCACUCUAUCUACAUGGAAUACACAUAAAUCAUCUCGGACCGACAAUGCUGCAAGUUCUGAAAUACGUCGCGCCGAAGUAAUCGCGACUAGAAAAACAAUUUCUUCUGACAAUAGACAUAAACUGGUAGAGUCUAUUGGUUCAUAUGGCGAACCCAUAAGUGAAUCCAACACAAUUGAAAGUUCCCAAGAAGGGUAUCGAUGUAUUACUGGUGGACAAAGGUUAGCUGCUCCUCUGAGAAAACGACGAAUCAUGGGAUCUUGUGACAAUGAAUUAUUGGAAUUAUAUGUCAGGAUAGAUGAGAUAGCAGCCACCUGUCUCUUGAGAGUGUUGGGAGAAAGUCCUUUUUCUAAACCAGCCUGUAAAAACAUCAGUACCUGCAAAACAGAAGCUUGAAGAGCAGAAAAACCUUGGGUCUCACACCAAGAUGUAAAUGUGUGCCAAGUUGCUGAAUAAAUUCGUUGUGUUGAUGACCGCCUAGAUGCCUGCAUGGUUCUAAUUAUUGGAGAUGGAAUGUGAUUUCGCUGGAGAGCAUCCCGUUCAACCACCAUGUGGUCAUUUGUAGCCAUUGUGGUUCCAGAUGUGUGAUUACACCCUGGCUGAGGCAAUUCGUGAUACAUGGUAUCCUCCAAGGAGGAGUCACUGAUAAAUUCAUGAGGUCUGCAAACCAUGACCUUCUUGGCCAAUGUGGCGCUAUUAGAAUGAUUUCCGCCCUUUCCAGUAUUAGUUUCUGAAUUACCCUCGGAAUUAGAGGAAUUGGUGGAAAGGCGUACAACAGACCUUGUGGCCAAGGGGAGCGUAGAGCAUCCACAGCUUCUGCAACGUUGAACGUUCUAUCUUUUAUGACCCUGGCCACAAGAGAUCUCAACCCGGGUUACGAUCCGGGUAGAGGAAAAACUUACCUUCAACUAAAUCAAAUAUAGUUCCCAAAUGAAGAAUUCUAGUCGACAGUUUCAGAUGGCUUUCUCUAUGUUAACAGAGAAGCUGUGUGAGGCCAGUGUCUGAAUGGUAAAUUGGAGAUCUGAAAUGUCCUGCUGAGGAGUUAAACAGAAGAGACUUAAACAGAGCCUGGGGAAAUAGGCUCGUGAAUGCAGGUUGAUCCGGAGGUAAGCCCUCAACCUCCGACAACUCUGGUUCCUGAGGCUCCAUCUCUUCCGAUACAGAGUGUCUACUGACAUAGGAGACGGAUGGAGAAUCUGAGCCCGCAAGCAAGAGGGCAUCUUCCAAAUCGACUCUGUCCAGCGAAGCCGAAUAGUCCGAAUGGACCAAAUACACUGUAAUCGGUCUGGCAGUCGAGAAAGUAUGAGUCGACAGGGAUCGUUGCCCCAUUGCUGCAAUCAUACAUUGAAUGUCCUCUGGACGUAAAGGGGUAGAAUCAUGGUCUCAGGCUGGGCCGGCCUCUGUAGAGGCUUGAACCAGAGCAGAAGAUACAGGUGAAUGAACCACCAACCCAGCUGGAGUGCUAUACUCCACAGCAGGGCCGGAUUUUCCUAUAGGCUAACUAGGCUUCAGCCUAGGGCCUCAAGAUCAAGAGGGGCCUACAUUCAAAUUGUUAGCAAAAUUAAAAUUACACUUUCAUUAUAGGUGAAAGGGCCUCAUAAAUGGAAUAGCCUAGGGCCUCUUUUCAUCUAAAUCCAGCCCUGCUCCACAGCAUUGAUACCCCACAGGCGGGGGAGAUCCCAAUAAGUCAGCUGACUCAACUGACACCAGGAAGUCUUGCAGCAACAUCUGAUCUGGGGUCGGAGAGAGGUCACGUCUACGUUCCCCUGGAGAAACCCUGGCUGUUGUAGAUGAUGUAGGACCACUGUCCUUGGCCUUGACUACAGGCUUCCAUAGAAGCUUUCCCUUGCAUCUAGCAGAAAACUUAGCCUGAGGUUUAAUGGAUACUCCAUCCCCUUGCACAUGCUUGGCAUCUUAUGCUUGGAAGCAACUGACUGUUCCCUUACUGUGGCCUGGUGGCCAUGUUUUGACUUGUCCAGAGCCUUAGGCAUGAUAGGCCAUAUAACACCCAAGAAGUGGAAAAUAGACUCCAUGUUAAGCAAGGCAGUCCUGUAUCAGGGGAAUGUCAAAUUCUAGAUGCAUUCUGAGAUAAAUAUGCGAGGCAGCAACAGAGAAAAGAGAAGGCAAUUAACCCCAAGCCUGUAAGGUGAAGCAAUGUCUGCCAAAAGGGCUGAAGGCAAGGUUAGGCCAGGGUAGCAGGCACAGCCAGAAAGACUGGAGGCCUGAGAGAAGCUCAACGUGUCGCCUUGCCCCUAAACAUAAUGGCGGCCUGAACUGCCAACUCAGGGAUCACAAAGCUCCGUUACUGAUGAGAACAGCAAUGUCAAACAGCUGAGAUGCGGACCAGUAAGAGAAGUCAAAGAGUCGAGCAGGUAUAAAUUAGGGUGAUUUUACAUAUCACCAAGCCCUUGUGAUGUGACCACAAGUGGCAAACCACAGGGAGCGCGAAAACUCCACUUUGAAGCCGGUGGCAAGGUCAAUCAGCUGAGAAGUGGUUAAUAGUGACAGCGGGCAGAGCUUUGUUCAUUUCUGCAGGAGAGAAUCAGAACCUGGAGGAAAAGAACCGACAAGCGGUGAUAGUCAGGGAGCGCAAAGACUCCACUCAGAACCCGGCAGCUAGUCUCAAACAGCUGAGAAGCGGCUCUAUUGAGUCUGCUGGAGAAAAGCUGUGCCUGAGUGAAAGGCUGACAAGAGCAAGAGACAGGGAGUGCGAAAAACUCCACUAACAGUUAUGCGGCUGGCAGUGACAAAAAUGGCUGCCCAAAGACCGUGGGGAGUGCAAGACUCCGCAAAGAGAAGUCGCUGUUUAAAAUGCAGGGCUCCACUGGCAAAGCCGGUGAUUUUUAGCCACCCAUGGGAGCGGAAAGCUCCACCAACAUACAGAAACUUACCAGUUCGAUUAAAGGAUGUCCAGCAAACAAAAGAAUAGCCAAGUACGACAUCCAAGGUCAAAUCCAAACAAUCAGGUAUGAAAGAAAACAGUCUAACUCUGAAAACUGUCAGAGCUAGCUAUCCACAAACUGUGCCACCGUAAGAGUGGGAGUGCUAGACUCCACAUUAUUGUUACUUCGAACAGGAGGAGGAGAUCCCCAUAAAUCAGAUGGCUCAACUAAUAGUGGGAAAUCUUGUAUUGACAUGUGAUCCUGGGUCAGAGAGGAGGCAUGUCUACAUUCUCCUGGAGACCCAACCGUUAUAGCCAAUGGGGCAGAGCCAGUGCCUUUGUCUUUGCCAAUAGUUUUUCUUAGUAGCUUCUCCUUGCGCUUAGGAAGAGCCUCAGAACAAGGCUUAAUUGCUACUCCUUCCCCUUGUGUAUGCUUGGAAGCUUCCAUUUUAGAAUCCACUGACUGCUCUCGCACUGUGGCACUAAUUUUGACUUGGCCAGAGCCUUAGGCAUGACUGGCCUUAAUUAAUCAAUCGGGUUGAAAGGACCCCCUAAAAUUUUAUCAGCCUUGUAAUAGGUCAACGUAAAUUUAAAAGUAGUUUAAAUUAAUAUAAACAUGUUAUAGAUGUAAAUUAUAUCUCCAACACCAUUUCCAGUAGCCAGAUGUGGCAGUCUUAGUUUAUAAGGACAGAAUAUGCUUAUAGCCAGUACAGAACUAAGGAUUGGAGGCUUGAUAGAAAAAAACUGUGUCCUUGCCCUUAAACAAAAUGGCGGCCAAGCAGUCACCUAAGAACUCGAGCUGGCGUAACUGUCAAAAACUGAAGCACUGUUCAGUCUCAAAUGAAGGCAGAUCUGUCUUAAACAGUCUAAUUUGGCCAAAUAAUCAAAGCACUGAUAAACGGAGAUAGCCAGAGAAAGUCAAGCCUCGUAGUCGAAAAUGUUAAUUAGCCUCAAUCAGCUGUGAGGCAGUUUAAAAUAGCAGGGAAAAACUCUGCGCUUUCUUAAAACUGCCGACAAGCGGCAAGAAUCAGGGAGCGAGAUAACUCCUCAAAUGCAAAAGUUUAUGGCUAUAGUGAAAUAGCAUCAUCCAUAUUAAUCAUAUGUUGAAUGUCCUCUGUGCGCCAAUUGAUUUGCGCUUGAUCUCGAGCCUUGUCCACUUCAUUAGAAGUUUGGAUAGGAACAGAGGAUGUAGGUGCAUUAAGCACUGAGAAUGUGGGAGCGCUAGACUCCUCAGUAGUGGUUGUACCCAUAACGGGAUUAGAACCCCAAACUUCAGAUGAUUGAACUAAGAAACCUUAGAGUCAGUAUAAUUAUUUCUUUUACGUGACUUUUUAACAGUCUUGUCCUGGCUGAUGACAGCACUGGGAGUCACCAAAGAAUGUUUUGCGGUUGUGCGCAUAGGAAGUACACAUUCCUUUUGUUUCUGAUUAUGAUCCUCCCUAAAUGAAGCCUGUGAUUGCUCUCUUACUGUGGCCUUUCGGCCAUGUUUGGAUUUUGAGAUAGCUUUAGGCAUAAUAAUAGAUUGGGAAUCAGACCAAAUCUAUAAUCAGUAAGAUGUAAGUUAUUUAAAAUAUUUAUUAUUUUUCAAUAGUUUGAAAGGAUAGAUAAAGGCUAAUAUGUUUAAUGUUCUCAGGUAAAUGUAAAAUUCUAGCUGCGCCAGUAAUCAAAAUGGCGUCUCAGCACUCAACUGGCACAGCCUGAUAGGCUGGAGGCUCUCAGGAAUGGAACUUGAGUUAUUGCCGGUAUUCAAAUGGCAACCGGCUCAACUGUCAAUGUGAGCGCGAGGCUCAACUGUAAGGCAGAGAUAAAAUUCCAACAGUUAAAAGCCAUUAAGAUUUCCAGCAGAAUGCAUGGAGGACAAGGAGAAAAGGGGUCCCCAACCCCUGGUCUGAGGACUGGUACCAGGCCAUGGCCGAUUGGGAACCGGGCUGCGCAAGUGGCAGGCGAAUGCACGAAGCUCCAUUUGCACAUGCUAACAAGUAGUUUGCGUGUGUGAAACCAUGUCCUCCCCCCGCUGCCUGCUACCACUGCUGCUGCCGAUCUACGAAGCCGGAACGAUUGGGGACUGCUAUUCUACAUCAUUGGAACACCAGUGGAAUAAAAAUAUUUGGAAUUCAG